CAGCAGCCGCGGGAAUACGUAGGGUGCAAGCGUUAAUCGGAAUUACUGGGCGUAAAGCGUGCGCAGGCGGUUCGCUAAGACAGAUGUGAAAUCCCCGGGCUUAACCUGGGAACUGCAUUCGUGACUGCGGGCUAGAGUAUGGCAGAGGGGGGUAGAAUUCCACGUGUAGCAGUGAAAUGCGUAGAGAUGUGGAGGAAUACCGAUGGCGAAGGCAGCCCCCUGGGCCAAUACUGACGCUCAUGCACGAAAGCGUGGGGAGCAAACAGGAUUAGAUACCCGCGUAGUCCCUGUCUCUUAUACA
Molecule: ribosomal RNA, 301 nt
Filed under: uncultured bacterium
Lineage: Bacteria
Description: partial 16S ribosomal RNA
Rfam family: Bacterial small subunit ribosomal RNA
Source: RNAcentral